This 650-nucleotide ribosomal RNA is filed under the name Salmonella enterica subsp. enterica serovar Heidelberg. Its description in RNAcentral is "partial 23S ribosomal RNA". It matches the Rfam family "Bacterial large subunit ribosomal RNA", at positions 2154 to 2803 of the family's 2925-position model. RNAcentral also lists the same sequence under 1 other name. Lineage: Bacteria; Pseudomonadati; Pseudomonadota; Gammaproteobacteria; Enterobacterales; Enterobacteriaceae. The record is from RNAcentral.
GCUUUGAAGUGUGGACGCCAGUCUGCAUGGAGCCGACCUUGAAAUACCACCCUUUAAUGUUUGAUGUUCUAACGUGGACCCGUUACCCGGGUUGCGGACAGUGUCUGGUGGGUAGUUUGACUGGGGCGGUCUCCUCCUAAAGAGUAACGGAGGAGCACGAAGGUUGGCUAAUCCUGGUCGGACAUCAGGAGGUUAGUGCAAUGGCAUAAGCCAGCUUGACUGCGAGCGUGACGGCGCGAGCAGGUGCGAAAGCAGGUCAUAGUGAUCCGGUGGUUCUGAAUGGAAGGGCCAUCGCUCAACGGAUAAAAGGUACUCCGGGGAUAACAGGCUGAUACCGCCCAAGAGUUCAUAUCGACGGCGGUGUUUGGCACCUCGAUGUCGGCUCAUCACAUCCUGGGGCUGAAGUAGGUCCCAAGGGUAUGGCUGUUCGCCAUUUAAAGUGGUACGCGAGCUGGGUUUAGAACGUCGUGAGACAGUUCGGUCCCUAUCUGCCGUGGGCGCUGGAGAACUGAGGGGGGCUGCUCCUAGUACGAGAGGACCGGAGUGGACGCAUCACUGGUGUUCGGGUUGUCAUGCCAAUGGCACUGCCCGGUAGCUAAAUGCGGAAGAGAUAAGUGCUGAAAGCAUCUAAGCACGAAACUUGCCCCGAG